Molecule: ribosomal RNA, 198 nt
Filed under: uncultured bacterium
Lineage: Bacteria
Description: partial 16S ribosomal RNA
Rfam family: Bacterial small subunit ribosomal RNA
Source: RNAcentral
ACGCUCGACACCUACAGGAGGCAGCAGUGGGGAAUAUUGCACAAUGGGGGGAAACCCGAUGCAGCGACGCCGCGUGAAGGAAGAAGUAUUUCGGUAUGUAAACUUCUAUCAGCAGGGAAGAAAAUGACGGUACCUGACUAAGAAGCCCCGGCUAACUACGUGCCUGCAGCCGCGGUAAUCUGAGCGGGCUGGCAAGGC